GUGGGGAAUAUUGCACAAUGGGCGAAAGCCUGAUGCAGCAACGCCGCGUGAGGGACGACGGCCUUCGGGUUGUAAACCUCUUUUAGUAGGGAAGAAGCGAAAGUGACGGUACCUGCAGAAAAAGCACCGGCUAACUACGUGCCAGCAGCCGCGGUAAUACGUAGGGUGCAAGCGUUAUCCGGAAUUAUUGGGCGGAAAGAGCUCGUAGGCGGUCUGUCGCGUCUGCUGUGAAAACUGGAGGCUCAACCUCCAGCCUGCAGUGGGUACGGGCAGACUAGAGUGCGGUAAGGGAGAUUGGAAUUCCUGGUGUAGCGGUGGAAUGCGCAGAUAUCAGGAGGAACACCGAUGGCGAAGGCAGAUCUCUGGGCCGUAACUGACGCUGAGGAGCGAAAGCGUGGGGAGCGAACAGGAUUAGAUACCCUAGUAGUCC
This 430-nucleotide ribosomal RNA is filed under the name uncultured bacterium. Its description in RNAcentral is "bacterial SSU rRNA". It matches the Rfam family "Bacterial small subunit ribosomal RNA", at positions 354 to 796 of the family's 1533-position model. The record is from RNAcentral.